This 144-nucleotide ribosomal RNA is filed under the name uncultured eukaryote. RNAcentral's name for it is "partial small subunit ribosomal RNA". It matches the Rfam family "Bacterial small subunit ribosomal RNA", at positions 1383 to 1525 of the family's 1533-position model. The record is from RNAcentral.
GUACACACCGCCCGUCAAGUCAUGGAAGGAGGAAGCACCAGAAGACGUCAGAGCCAACCGCAAGGGAGGUGGACGGCCAAGGUGAACCUCUGGCUGGGACUAAGUCGUAACAAGGUAUCCGUAGGUGAACCUGCAGAAGGAUCA